GGUGGUUUUGUUAGGAGCAGUAUAAAUGCAGUGGUUCUGAGAAUGUCUUCUGGAGACAGGCUGCCUUCACUUCAAAUUCCUGCUUUCAAAUCCUCCUUUGCUGGCUGAGUGACCCUGGACAGGUGACUUAACGUCUUUGUGCAUCUCACAUGGAAGAUGAAGGUGAUGGUGUGACCUCGGCCUGAGGUCCUGCAGUUCAGCCUGCAAGGGGAAACGGAGUUUGUGUUUCCUUACCUGCCAGUCCACUCCAAGGAGCCAAGAAGGCCUCCUCUCACCCCCUCACCCCCGGCUCGUCCUCCAAACUGAGCCCCUCAAAGACUGCGGUAUUUUUCAGUCCUUCGUAACCGCUCUCAGCCCCAAAAUAUGAAAAUGAGAGCGAUGGUCCUGAGCGCCUGGAGUGAUAUCUUAGUUCGCUCCCAAGACCCAUCAGGAACCUCAUCCCAAGUGCUCUGAAGAGCAGGAGAAAACAUUUUUAACUAAGGCAUCUUCUCCUUGGGGCAGGGUCCUGACAGGAGAAGGGGGAGCCCCACCGUCAGAGACUCGCCCCUCAGAGCUGCUCAGGUUCCUCUUCCCCGUGGCCCUGAAGGAGCUCGGCUGGGGCGACCCAGGAUCAGAACCCGCGCUCCCAGCCCGCGCGCUUGAAGACGCCGCCGCGCUGAUCUCUCUUUCCGGCUGAGAUCUUGGGACGAAAGAAUGAGAUUUCCCAGAGUCAGGUUCCAAAGCUUAGUGAAACAGCAACUUUUAGGGCCCGCAGUAGAGACGUAGGAGCUAGAAAUUCGGCAUAAAAAUC
This is a long non-coding RNA of Pongo pygmaeus (Bornean orangutan), 790 nucleotides long. RefSeq lists it as uncharacterized. The record is from RefSeq and is a predicted model, not a curated record. NCBI's taxonomy places the organism in Eukaryota, Metazoa, Chordata, Mammalia, Primates, Hominidae. The transcript is spliced from 2 exons.